GAGACAGAGAGAGGGAGAGAGAGGGAGGGAGGAACAGAAUGACAGAAAGAGAGACAGAGAGAGAGGAACAGAGUGACAGAAAGAGAGAUAGGGAGAGAGAGGGAGGGAGAGAGGGAGAGAGAGAGGGAGGAACAGAGUGACAGAAAGAGAGAUAGAGAGAGAGAGGGAGAGAGAGAGGGAGAGAGAGAGGGAGGAACAGAGUGACAGAAAGAGAGAUAGAGAGAGAGAGAGGGAGAGAGAGAGGGAGGGAGAGUGACAGAAAGAGAGAUAGAGAGGAAGUAACAGAGUGACAGAAAGAGAGAGAGAGAGAGAGAGAGGGAGGGAGAGAGAGGGAGAGAGAGAGGGAGGAACAGAGUGACAGAAAGAGAGAUAGAGAGAGAGAGAGGGAGAGAGAGAGGGAGGGAGAGUGACAGAAAGAGAGAUAGAGAGGAAGUAACAGAGUGACAGAAAGAGAGAGAGAGAGAGUGAGAUAAGGAGGGAGAGAGAGGGAGGGAGGGAGAGAGAUAAGGAGGGAGAGGGAGGUAGAGAGAGGGGGAGAGAGAGAGAGUCUGUCUAUCUGCG
Molecule: long non-coding RNA, 561 nt
Organism: Clupea harengus (Atlantic herring)
Lineage: Eukaryota; Metazoa; Chordata; Actinopteri; Clupeiformes; Clupeidae
Source: Ensembl